This 497-nucleotide ribosomal RNA is filed under the name uncultured bacterium. RNAcentral's name for it is "partial 16S ribosomal RNA". It matches the Rfam family "Bacterial small subunit ribosomal RNA", at positions 28 to 507 of the family's 1533-position model. The record is from RNAcentral.
GAUGAACGCUGGCGGCGUGCCUAAUACAUGCAAGUCGAGCGAACAGACGAGGAGCUUGCUCCUCUGACGUUAGCGGCGGACGGGUGAGUAACACGUGGAUAACCUACCUAUAAGACUGGGAUAACUUCGGGAAACCGGAGCUAAUACCGGAUAAUAUAUUGAACCGCAUGGUUCAAUAGUGAAAGACGGUUUUGCUGUCACUUAUAGAUGGAUCCGCGCCGCAUUAGCUAGUUGGUAAGGUAACGGCUUACCAAGGCAACGAUGCGUAGCCGACCUGAGAGGGUGAUGCGGCACACUGGGACUGAGACGCGGUCCAGACUCCUAGGGGAGGCAGAGGUAGGGAAUCUUCCGCGAUGGGCGAAAGCCUGACGGAGCAACGCCGCGUGAGUGAUGAAGGUCUUCGGAUCGUAAAACUCUGUUAUUAGUGAAGAACACAUGUGUAAGUAACUAUGCACGUCUUGACGGUACCUAAUCAGAAAGCCACGGCUAACUACGUG